AGGGCGCAGUCUGCGCAUGCGCUACCCAAUGAAAAUAAGGAACAUGGCGAGGAGACCGGAAAAGAUUUGAGACUUUACUGCUUAAAAUUUCAGCGAUCAUGGCUACACAGAAACCUGGCGAGUGGGUCCAGUCCCUGCUCGCCCGGUUCGAUGCUCAGCUUCCCAUCAAGACUGGUCUUCAGACAACACAAUCCAUGCAGAAUGUCAAGCAGAACAAGGAGUGCUUGGUGAAAGUGAGUAGACACAAGUUCUCUCUAGUCAUCAAUGGACUCACAAAGACUUUGCAGAGCGUCCUGCAAACGCGGGUGCAUGCUGAAGCAGAACGUAACUACUAUGAUUCACAAAUUAUUAUUCUGGACACCUUAAAGCAAGUUUUGAACUCGCAACCAAAAGAUACAUCUAGAAUGGAUGAAGCAAUGUAUGUCAAGAUGCUGUUGCCAGAAAUUUGUAAGUUUCUGAACCAGCCAACAGAUGGCAACCCACUGGCAGUUCAGUUACGUAAUCUGGCUUCAGAAGUGCUGUAUGCUCUUAGUCUGAACAACUUCACAGCAGUAUUCAACAAAAUCUCAGCCAAGCUUGUGGCGCUAGUCCAGGUGGAGGAUUCUUCAGAUCUUUCAGAUUUGGAAUUAAUCCAGCACAUGAAUAUGGACCUCUCACGCCUUACCAAACUCCUUAAUGAAGUUGUGUCAAAGUUCAAGACACUCAAGUCUCGACCAGUCAUCAUCAGCCUAGGGCUUAAUCUGGAAAAGGCAAUCUGGAACUGGAUGGAUAACUAUCCUACAGAGUUUACAGACUUGCAAAAGCGUCCUAAUGAUGAAUUGCAGGAAUGUUGUGACAAGCUGUUUGAGCAUUUUAACAACUUGGUAGAGGGAUCUCGUAGGCGGGCCUCCAUCUGGCCACUGCAGAUGAUGCUUCUUAUUCUUUGUCCUAAAAUCCUGGAGGAAAUCAAUAAUGCAGACACAGGAGCACCUUGUUCACAGCAACACCUGAAGAAGAAAUCCUUUAUCGAUGAAGUAAAGAAGGCUGUAUCCAGUCAUCAUAGUGGCAAUAAAAAUCUGACUGAAGGGGCUGCUGUCACGUGUGUUCGUCUUUGUAAAGCCUCAACGUACAUCAACAUUAAGGAUCGGCUAAAUGUGCUUUUCACUCUAGUGCAGUCGGUCAUACAAGAUCUGAAGACACUGUUGUUCAACCCACCUCCAAACAGCAAAACCUUCUCCAAAGUGCAAGGUGUAGUUGGCCAGGAUUCAGAGCUGUAUGUGGACUUUUUUGUAUCAUGUUUCCGCAUCACACCACACAACAACGAUGUGUUGAAAGUGUGUCUGAACAGCCAUUCCCCAGCAAUGUACCACCUUGUGUUGGUCACAGCUCUACACCGUAUCAUUACGCAGCCACGAUUGGAUUGGUGGCCUGACAUCAGUCUCAUGUACAGCAAAGCUGGUGAACUACGUAACAUGUUUAUGGAUACAGUCAACAAGGUGACCCAGGGCUUCUCCUCUCACAACUGCCCUAAGGUCAGUCAAGGGACAUUAUCCAAGAUGACCACAACAUUGAAGCUGUCCAGGCCCGAUGAAACCCUGACAACAUACAAAUACAUCUUGUUCUGGCUGGUGAAGCUAGUUAUAGCCGACCCUCAUCUCAUGCUUCAUAACCAAGGCAAGCCUGGGCAUGAGGUACAGCGCAGUACCCUGGAUCUUAUUACUAGUCUUGUCUCCCUUGUUCACCAGCAAAUGAUGCCAGAUGUUGCACAGAGAGCCAUGGAGGCACUGCUUGUGCUGCACCAGCCAGAGAACAUUGAGCUAUGGAACCCUGAAGCACCUAUCAACACCUUUUGGGAUAUCAGUUCCCAGGUGUCUUUUUACAUCUCGCAGCGCUUGAUCCAGCACCAGAUUGUCAACUACACAGAAAUUCUCAAGUGGUUAAGAGAAAUUCUUAUAUGUAGAAAUCGGUUUCUGCAGAAACACAGUGCAAACGCCAAUGUUGGCAGUAACAUUCCUGUGUGUCGCCAGGCACACAUCAAGCUAGAGGUGGUGUUCUUCAUGUACCUUUGGAGCAUUGACAUGGAUGCUGUUCUGACUGCUAUGAGCUGUUUCCGUCUACUUUGUGAAGAAGCAGAAAUUCGCUGUGGUGCUGAUGAGAUGGCUGUGACACAACUUCUACCCAACAGCAGUGUUUAUGAAGAGCUGGCCGCUGCCAGCACUGUUCUUACCACAGGUCGUGCUGCACUUCAGAAAAGAAUUAUGGGAUUGUUGCGGAAAAUUGACCAGUCAACUCCAGGGAAUUCACAAGCUUGGGAAGAUACCUACAGAAAUUGGGAUGCAGUAACACGAUAUUUGGAGUUGUAUCCUAAAGUCAAAUAUGAAGAGCAAGGGCGUGGCGAGAUUGCUGAGAUGAUAAAACUGAAGCGGAAGACUCCCCAGCAUGCAAACACAGAACAUGAGCUAGAAGACCAGCUGAAUGAAUGGGCUAACAUGACUGGAUUCCUGUGCGCUGUUGGCAGUGUCCGACUACAAAACAAAUCAACACGUGUCAGCAAUUCAUCAUUGCCAGGAAUCCAGGUGGAACCAAGUCGUAAAAGUAGUCUCAUGCAGAGCUGCUCCAAUGAUUCUCAGUACUGCCCUGUGACACAGUUUAUUGGCAACUUGCUGAAGCUACUAGUAUUUCAAAAUGAAAAGUUUGGGGCCACCAUCCAGAAGCAUGUGAAGGAACUAGUUGGACAUGAGCUGAAUCCAGCACUGUACCCAAGCCUCUUUGACCAGAUUAAAAUCUGUGUUGAUAAGUUUUUUGAUGCCACUGGACAGGUGAUUGUUCAGGAUCAAAACACACUCAUGAUUGAAAAUGUCAUUUUCAUCAUGAAAAACAUACUCGAAAUGAAGUCUGACCAGCCUUGUGAAUACCUGGGUGUCACAAGUAUUGAGUCUCUCAUGCUGGCCAUUGUCAGGUAUGUGAGGCAUUUGGAUUCAUCCAUGCAUGCUAUUCAGAUCAAAACCAAACUCUGCCAGCUUGUGGAAGCAAUGAUGAGACGGAGAGAUGAACUGACAUUUAGGCAGGAAAUGAAAUUCCGUAAUAAGCUGGUGGAGUAUCUGACGGAUUGGAUCAUGGGCAACUCACAUCAGGUUAAUGUGCAAGGUGACAUCUGCAGUAUGUCGAGGGACCUUGAUCAGGCAAGUAUGGAGGCAGUGGCAGCCUUGCUAGCAGGACUUCCAUUGCAGCCAGAGGAGAGUGACCGUGGUGAUCUAAUGGAAGCAAAAUCACAGCUUUUCCUCAAAUACCUGACUCUUUUCAUGAAUCUUUUGAACGACUGUUCAGAGGAAGAGCAGGAUAAGGCUCUUGAUCCCAACCGCAAGCGUAGCAUGUCAAACCUGAGUGCUCUCCGGAACUGCACUGUGCAGGCCAUGUCCAAUCUUCUCAAUGCCAACAUUGACAGUGGGCUCAUGCACUCCAUAGCUCUGGGUUACCAUAAAGAUCCUCAGACACGGGCAGCUUUUAUGGAGGUGCUGACCAAAAUCUUGCAGCAAGGAACAGAAUUUGAAACGCUAGCUGAGACAGCCCUAGCUGACAGGUUUGAGCGGUUGGUGGAGCUGGUGACCAUGAUUGGUGACAAGGGAGAACUGCCCAUAGCCAUGGCACUAGCACAAGUUGUCUCCAAUACUCAGAUGGAUGAACUUGCUAGAGUGUUUGUCAGUCUCUUUGAUGCCAAGCGCCUGUUGUACCAACUUUUGUGGAACAUGUUCUCCAAAGAGGUGGAGCUUGCAGACUGCAUGCAGACAUUAUUCCGUGGCAACAGUCUUGCCAGCAAGAUCAUGGCCUACUGCUUUCGGUUUUAUGGGCAGUGGUAUUUGUGUGAUCUUCUGUCCCCACUUAUACAAGAGAUGUUUCAUCUGGAGAAAGAGUGUCAUGUGUCCUAUGAGAUUGAUCAGACCAGGCUGGAGCAAGGUGAGAAUCUAGAGGAUAACAAGAGAAACUUGCUCGAGAUGACCCAGAAAGUCUUCACAGCAAUAGUUGAAUCUGCUCCCAAAUUUCCACCCAAGCUACGCAGCAUGUGCCAUUGCUUGUACCAAGUGGUCACCCAGAGAUUCCAGCAAAGCAGCGCUGAGGCUGUAUGGACUGUUAUCGGCACCGUCAUAUUUUUACGCUUCAUCAACCCUGCCAUAGUCUCACCUUAUGAGUCAGGCAUUGUAGAGAAAGAACCAACCCUACGUAUGAAGCGCGGUCUGACACUCAUGUGCAAAAUUAUGCAGAACAUCGCCAACCAUCUUUUGUUUACCAAAGAAGUUCACAUGAUGGCUUUUAACGAAUUCCUCAAAAGCAAUUUUGAAAAUGGCCGAAGAUUUUUCACAGAGAUUGCGUCUGAUUGUGAGACACUGGAUGCAGGCAACCACAAUCUAUCGUUUAUCAAUGAUGCCAAUGUCUUGGCACUGCAUCGCCUGUUGUGGAACAAUCAGGAGAAGAUUGGGGAUUACUUAUCCAGCAGCAGUUUGGAGGUGCACACUGAGAACUUCCUGUGCGAGGCUGCCGAGGGCCCGCAGCGCCUAGAUCACAAAGCUGUGGGGCGGCGUCCAUUUGACAAAAUGGCUACACUCCUGGCAUACCUGGGUCCACCAGAACACCGACCUCUUGAUUCACAGUGGAGCAGCAUGGACAUGACGAGCACUAAGUUUGAGGAGAUCAUGUCCAAGCACAACAUGCAUGAGAAGGACGAAUUCAAGUCCCUCAAAAACUUGCACAUCUUCUACCAGGCUGGAACGUCCAAGGCAGGCAAUCCUGUCUUUUACUACAUUGCCCGCAGAUACAAGGUUGGAGAGAUCAAUGGAGACUUGCUGAUCUACCAUGUACUGCUGACUCUCAAACCCUUUUAUCACAAGCCCUUUGAGCUGGUCAUUGACUUCACUCACACCUGUUCAGAAAACAGGUUUAGGACUGAUUUUCUGUCCAAGUGGUUUGUAGUGAUGCCAGAGAUUGUUUAUCAAAAUAUUACAGCUGCAUACAUCUACAACUGUAAUUCAUGGGUGCGAGAGUACACUAAGUACCAUGACCGUAUUCUGACACCAUUAAAGAACAACAGAAAGCUUAUUUUCAUUGAUCUUCCCGCAAAGCUGUGUGAUUUCAUUGACCCAGACCAGCAGAAAUUGCCAGGAACAACCGUCUCCCUUGAAGAGGACCUGAGAGUCUUUAACAAUGCACUGAAACUGUCUCACAAGGAUACCAAGGUCGCCAUCAAGGUUGGACCAAAUGCCAUUCAAGUCACCUCUUCUGAACGGAGCAAAGUUCUGGGUCACCAAGUCUUUCUUAAUGAUGUUUACUAUGCUGCAGAGAUUGAAGAGGUAUGUCUGGUGGAUGACAAUCAGUUUACUCUGACCAUUGCCAACGAGACGGGGCCACUGUCCUUCAUCCACAACGACUGUGACAACAUUGUGCAAGCCAUCAUCCAUAUUCGUACUCGUUGGGAGCUGUCGCAGCCCGUAUGCGACACAGUAACAGUGCACACUAAGAUCAGACCAAAAGAUGUCCCAGGAACAUUGCUGAAUGUUGCACUGCUAAAUUUAGGCAGCUCCGAUCCUAGCUUAAGAUCAGCUGCCUACAACCUGCUGUGUGCCCUUACUCAGACUUUUGACCUCAAAAUCGAGGGUCAGCUUCUAGAAACUAAUGGCCUCUGCAUCCCUGCCAACAACACUAUCUUCAUUAAGUCCAUCAGUGAGAAGCUAGCAGAGAAAGAACCACACCUGACCUUAGAGUUUCUGGAGGAGUGCAUCCAGGGCUUUGGCAACUCUAACAUUGAGAUGAAACAUCUUUGUCUUGAGUACAUAACUCCUUGGCUGCCAAAUCUUACCAGAUUCUGUAAACAAUCAGAUGAGAAUAAACGCCAGAAAGUGGCAUUGAUUUUGGAUAAACUGAUUACUAUGACCAUUGAGGAAGUGGAGAUGUACCCAUCCAUUCAAGCCAAAAUCUGGGGGAACAUUGGACAAAUUGCAGAUCUGCUGGACAUGGUGCUCGAUAGCUUUAUCAAGCGAAGUGUAACUGGAGGCUUAGGUUCGAUCCAGGCUGAGAUCAUGGCAGACACUGCCGUAGCCUUGACUUCUGCCAAUGUUCAGCUAGUGUCUCGAAAGGUCAUAGGUCGUCUUUGCAGACUGAUCGACAAGACUUGUACAUCACCAACACCAACUCUAGAGCAGCACUUAAUGUGGGAUGACAUAGCAAUUCUUGCCAGAUACCUUCUUAUGCUUUCCUUCAAUAAUUCAUUGGAUGUGGCCAGCCACCUGCCCUUCUUGUUCCACAUUGUGACAUUACUGGUAUCAACCGGCCCACUCUCACUGCGAGCAUCGACACAUGGAUUGGUCAUUAACAUCAUACACUCCUUAUGCACGUGCUCCCAGCUCCACUUUGCAGAGAGCACAAAGCAGGUAUUGAAGCUGAGCCUUGCUGAGUUCUCGCUGCCCAAGUUUUACCAGCUUUUUGGCAUAAGCAAAGUCAAGUCGGCAGCAGUCAGCGCCUUCCGUACAAGCUAUCGGCCUGGUGACCGAUCAUUCACCAUGUCUCCACCAGAGAAUGAAAAGAUGCCUCUCAGUUCUUUGGAGGCUAUUGCUGAUGCCUUGCUGGAGAUUAUGGAGGCAUGUAUGAAAGACAUUCCAAGUUCUGAGUGGCUACAACAAUGGACAGACUUAGCUCGAAGAUUUGCCUUCCAGUACAACCCAGCUCUGCAGCCACGUGCGAUCAUUGUGUUUGGCUGCAUUAGCAAAACAGUCACAGACUCUGAGAUCAAGCAGCUUCUCAAGAUCAUGAUGAAAGUCAGCGUCAUGUCCGCUUUAGAGUCCUACAUCGAUUUGACUCUGGUGGAAGCUGUGGUUAUGUGCUUGACUAGACUUCAGCCGCUUCUGAGAUCAGAGUCACCUAUCCACAAGUUCUUGUUCUGGGUGGCUAUCUCGGUUUUACAGCUGGAUGAGGUGUCAUUAUAUGCAGCAGGGUUGGCACUUCUGGAACAGAAUCUGCACACACUAGACAACAUGGGACUGUUUGACAGAAGAUCGUUGGAGGACAUCAUGAUGGAGACCCGUGAGCCUCUAGAGUGGCACUUCAAACAGCUAGACCAUGAAAUGGGGCUCAGCUUCCGCACAAACUUCAACUUUGCAUUUGUCGGCCACUUGUUGAAAGGGUUUCGACAUCCUUCACCUACUACAGUGUCACGGACUAUUAGAGUGUUACACCAUCUGCUAACCAUCACAGUUAAACCAACCAACCGUGACAAAUUUGAAGUGACCACAGAAACAGUUGCCUACCUGGCAGCACUGGUCUCAGUAUCAGAGGAGGUGCGCAGUCGCUGUCAUUUGAAGCACCGCACAGCACCAUACAUCAAUCCUGACUCCCCAUCUAGUGAAAGCCUCAAUUCUGAUCUUGCAUCAGGUUCUGGUGUAAACAUUUCUGCCACCAUGUCAACCUCCACUUCAAUUUCCUCUUCCUCAAGCACUGUUGCUGGCAUGAGUGGAUCUGCAUGUGGUGGCUUGAGUCCUGGGGCUGCUUCUGGUGGACCACCACCAUCACUAGGGUUAUCACAGCCACCUGGAACAUCGCUAGGCAGACGCCAGAAGUCCUGUGAUCUUCUUGAUCAGACAGCAAUGACUGCUGCGCGGCAGAGUAAGAAUGGACAUCUUACACAAAGUCAGCCACAUCUGCUUCAGGUAACCAGCCCAAAAGUGUGGCGUAGCUUAGACUCUGCAGACCCCAGUGGCCAGCAGUGUGGGUCUACAUCACCAACUGCCACCACCACUUCUCCUGUUGCUGUCAUACCAACCCCACCAAUCCCUGUAGCAACAUUUAACAUGACAAGACAGCCUUGGUCAAAAACUCGAAGCAGUUCUAUGCCAACUCCUGGGACAAAAAAGAUGGACACAGGCAAACCAUCUUUGCCUCCCCCACGCAGUGGUCGAAGCUCAGUGUCCAAUGAAAACAAUGUUCUUCUUGACCCAGAGAUUCUGACUGACUAUCCAACUCAGGCUUUAGUUCUCACUGUCCUGGCAACACUCGUUCGCAAUACAACUGACGAGAAUGAAACAAGGAUCUUGUAUGAAUAUCUGGCGGAAGCAUCAGUGGUUUUCCCUAAAGUAUUUCCAGUUAUUCACAGCCUGUUGGAUGCCAAGAUCAACAAUGUGUUAUCCCUGUGCCAUGACCAGGCCAUUUUAAAUGCUGUCCAGUCCAUCAUACAAAACAUGAUUGCUUGUGAGGAUGCCACGCAGCAGCAGUUGUCAUACCUACAGAAGCUGCACUGAUCUGGCACCUCUAUGUCACAGUCUUCGUGUGCGGCAAGGAAAAAGUUAAAAGUAUAGGUUUUGGUGGACUGUGGAGGUUUGCAGGGACUUUUACCAAGUCAUUAGGGUCAAGUGACAUUGCGGAGCUCUUUGUUAACUGUUUGGAGAAAGCUAUGAUGGUAGAGUCGUGUCUGCCAGGUGAUGAUUUG
This 8446-nucleotide unclassified non-coding RNA is filed under the name Pomacea canaliculata. RNAcentral describes it as "neurofibromin-like, transcript variant X10". Lineage: Eukaryota; Metazoa; Mollusca; Gastropoda; Architaenioglossa; Ampullariidae. The record is from RNAcentral.